UAUAAUUAGCGUAUAAUGAGCAGUGAGACAACUGGAGGUCACUUUCAUCGCCAUCUUGGUUUUGGUGGGUUUUGGACAGCUUCUUUACGCAUGCUGUUUUAUCAGCAAGGUCUUUGUGACUUGUAUCUUGUGCCGACCUCCUAUCUCAUCCUGUGUCUAGGAAUGCCUUAACCUCCUGGAAUGCAGCUCAUGUCACCCUGCUUACACAUGGAAGGGAGGCCUGAGAGGCUGCAGAAUGGCCCUGGAGAAGGCAAGAGACACUGUCUGGUUGGCCUGGAGUGCACAUCUGUGAGAGACUUUGGGGCAGUUCUCUCUUCUCUAUGCUAGAGCCAUUGAUGCCCUGUGCACUUCAUUGCCUUUGACCAUCAUUCCUUGCUCCUGGAAUGCCACCUCCUCUUUGCCACAGUUAAUAAAACCAGCUGAAGCCUC
This 429-nucleotide long non-coding RNA is filed under the name Pan troglodytes (chimpanzee). RNAcentral describes it as "lincRNA". Lineage: Eukaryota; Metazoa; Chordata; Mammalia; Primates; Hominidae. The record is from RNAcentral.